AAACACAGUUACUUCAAAAAAAAACCUAAAUAUUAACUUCUUUUUUUUUUUUUACUUUUUCUUCCCUAACUUUCAAAAAUUUAUAAUUUACUUUCUUCGUAUUUCAAGUUGUUACAUUUAGCUCCAUCCGUUAGUACGUAUUCUAUUACUAUUCCAUCCAUUUUUUAUAAUUUAUAUAAAAAAUAUUUUUUAAAAUAAUAGAAAAUAUGUUAAAUUUUUAUUUUUUUUUAUAGAAAAGAUAAAAAUAAUUUGGUCAUUUUGUCCUCUCUAUUAACAUCGUAGUUUUCUGAAAAUAUUCCUAAAAUUUUAAGAGUAUAAAAAUAUAGAUUUUCGAAAGUCGGUGAGGAAAAAUAAAAAAGUAGGCAUUUAUAAGAUAAUUUUUUAUAUUUUAAUCAAAAAAUAAAAACAUACGAAAUAUAUUUGAAUUAUAAAUUAUUUUAAAUUAGCUAUUUAAUUAUUUUUUCAAAUUUUAAUUAUACUAUCAAAAUUUUAAUUUGUUUUAUUUGCGUUAGUGAACGAUACUUUAAUUUUCAAAUUUGAAUGUGGUAUUUAUCCCUAUAGAUUUGGAUAAUAUAUUUUACAGGAAUUUUUUAAUUAUAAUUUUAUUAAAGUAAGCAAUUAACUUAAAAUUUGAAGUCAGGAAAUUAUUAGCCGACCUACAUAAAACGAAUUGAAAGAUUGGAUAGUAAAUCUAGAAUUUUUGACGGUUGGAUAUAUAGCUAUCUUACAACGGCCCAUAAUUCAGACAAUUUUUAUACAUUUUUUUACUUUUAACGAAUUUCCUAUCUCUGUUUAAAAAUUUAAUCGGGUAAAUAAGAUGAAUUAACCAUCCCUCCUGAUGAAAUAUUCUAUGCGUAAUGUUUCCAAAAAAUUCCUAUUAUUCUCUGCUCUGCAUUUUUAUUAAAUUGGCCCUGCUUGUAGAACAACGACGUUUCAUUGGAAAAUCCUCCAUUCGCUACAACAUAUCAGUUUUGUCUUUAUCCAAAAUUUUAUCGAUAUCAUUUAAUAUUGAAAUUAAAAAAAUUCAAAAUUUACUAUUCAACUUUUCAAUGAGGCUUCAAUUUUGAGUUAGCUAUCUAUUGAAAGGUUGGGUAGCUAAUUAAAAUAAAGAAUAAUUAUUUAUAUACCUCUCAAAAUUUUAAAAAUAUUUAAUUUAUUUUUUUAAUAUACCUCUCAUAAGUUUUUAUGUUAUUCAAAAAUAUCCCAGCAAUUACCAUCCGUUAAGUUAUCACAGGUUAAAUGUGAGUUAAAUAUCUAGCAGAGUUUAAAAAAAUCAAAAUACCUCUUAAAAUAGCAGAAUUUAACUUAAAGGCAAAUAAUAAAAGUUGAUGAUGAUGGAGGGGUAUAUUUGAAAUGACCAAAAAUUAAAGUACUUCUUUUAUCCCUAAUUCAAAGGCAAAUAAGAAAAGUUGAUGAUGGUAGAAAGAUAUAUUUGAAAGGAUAAAAUAGUAAUUUUACAAAGAUAACAAUUAUUGCUAACAGUUCACUAACAUAAUUUAAUUUUAGGAGUAUAUUACCGACCGUCCCUAGAGCAAGUGGCAAAGGGCUUGGUGGUUGGUACCCGAGACCCAAGUUCGAAUCCUAGUUGAUUCAUAUUUCUAGCUAAAUUUAUUUCUAAAUGAAAUAAACGAAGCGGGUAACGUGCUACUUAUCUCUCAAAAAAAAAAAAAA
RNAcentral lists this long non-coding RNA (1671 nucleotides) under Ananas comosus (pineapple). RNAcentral's name for it is "long non-coding RNA (ACOM_LNC010916)". The record is from RNAcentral. Lineage: Eukaryota; Viridiplantae; Streptophyta; Magnoliopsida; Poales; Bromeliaceae.